This 372-nucleotide unclassified non-coding RNA is filed under the name uncultured Flavobacteriaceae bacterium. RNAcentral describes it as "contains 16S-23S intergenic spacer region". Lineage: Bacteria; Pseudomonadati; Bacteroidota; Flavobacteriia; Flavobacteriales; Flavobacteriaceae. The record is from RNAcentral.
UCACGGUUUGCACCGGCAGUCUGGCUAGAGUUCCCGACUUGACUCGCUGGCAACUAACCACAGGGGUUGCGCUCGUUAUAGGACUUAACCUGACACCUCACGGCACGAGCUGACGACAACCAUGCAGCACCUUGUAAUCUGUCCGAAGAAAUAUCUGUUUCCAAAUACGUCAGACUACAUUUAAGCCCUGGUAAGGUUCCUCGCGUAUCAUCGAAUUAAACCACAUGCUCCACCGCUUGUGCGGGCCCCCGUCAAUUCCUUUGAGUUUCAUUCUUGCGAACGUACUCCCCAGGUGGGAUACUUAUCACUUUCGCUUAGCCACUGAGCAUUGCUGCCCAACAGCUAGUAUCCAUCGUUUACGGCGUGGACUAC